This 139-nucleotide ribosomal RNA is filed under the name uncultured bacterium. RNAcentral describes it as "partial 16S ribosomal RNA". It matches the Rfam family "Bacterial small subunit ribosomal RNA", at positions 393 to 524 of the family's 1533-position model. The record is from RNAcentral.
ACGACCGCGUGAGUGAAGAAGGUUUUCGGAUCGUAAAGCUCUGUUGUUGGUGAAGAAGGAUAGAGGUAGUAACUGGCCUUUAUUUGACGGUAAUCAACCAGAAAGUCACGGCUAACUACGUGCCAGCAGCCGCGGUAAU